This 75-nucleotide transfer RNA is filed under the name Candidatus Falkowbacteria bacterium RIFOXYA2_FULL_38_12. Its description in RNAcentral is "tRNA-Gly". It matches the Rfam family "tRNA". From Rfam's summary of the family: Transfer RNA (tRNA) molecules are approximately 80 nucleotides in length. Their secondary structure includes four short double-helical elements and three loops (D, anti-codon, and T loops). RNAcentral also lists the same sequence under 4 other names. Lineage: Bacteria; Candidatus Falkowiibacteriota. The record is from RNAcentral.
GCAGGUGUCGUAUAAUGGCUAUUAUGUCACCCUUCCAAGGUGAAGACGCCGGUUCGAUUCCGGUCACCUGCUCCA